AUGACCUAAUAACUACCACAUUUACAGGAAGUAUGGUAAUACAUUCUUGUCAGCUGUCUGGGCAAAUCUUCUCUCGCAGAAUUGGAUUAAAAUUUAAUGUAUUUUAUUUCUCACUUCCAACGAUGUCGCAAUUAUUAGGCAGCUAUCAAGUCUCAAGAUAUGACAUAAUUUGAUAGAAUGUUAGUACCAACGCUAUCAGUGCAUUGAAGUCGAGUUCUCGAUACAGGGAGCUGCUGGUAAACUACCGUCGCUAUACAUCGACUAUGACUACAAUCUUACUUUUAAAAACAAACUACAUACAUAUCUCACAUUUGCGAGGACUACUUCAUCACAAGCAAAAAAUCGACAUUGGUAAAUAAAGGUCUGUCUUCUAUAACCACGAUGAAAAGAAAAGCUGGGCGAAAACAUU
Molecule: long non-coding RNA, 409 nt
Organism: Bolinopsis microptera
Lineage: Eukaryota; Metazoa; Ctenophora; Tentaculata; Lobata; Bolinopsidae
Exons: 4
Source: RefSeq, a predicted model, not a curated record